UAAAUUUUUCUCUCUCUAUGACCAAGAACAAAAAGCAAAGGGAUGCCAAAUCUUCAGCCCCAAGGUGUGAGGCCCUUUAGUUUCGGCCCCACGGUGUGAGGCCCCCUCUCUUAGCUGCUUGUCAGUAUUCUAUCUGGCUGGGGAAACAAGGCCCCCUGCAGCACCAAAUGAACAACACAACCUCUCACUGUCCAGGCACCAUGCCACCACGACACCGGGUCAGACUGGAGGACGCAGACCAAAGCACUGAGGCAAUGACCAGGCAGUUCAGAGGCCUCUCUUGGGCAAGUUCACUGUGGCCAGGGUGGAGCCGACAGUGCACGCAGGGACUAUUCUAGACACAAGAAUGAGAAGACUAAGAUACAUGGCCUCAGCUCAUGAGUGGAGAUGGAUGGGACAAUCAUAUACAACUGAAUAAAUGAUGUGAUGGAAGAAAAGAGGCGGCCCAUGGGAAACAUGGAAAGGCACACAGCCUAUCCCUGCGAGAGGGACUGACAUCAGAAACAAGAGCUGAUGGACUGGCAAGUCUAGUGAUGAAGCAUGAAGAACGGUCCCUGCAGCAACUAUGAAGAGCAAAAAUUUGAGAGAAUAUCACCAACUUGACAAUAUGCAAAUUAAUUAAUUAAUUAGUACAAAUGCUAAGAGGCCUCCACUCCACGAAGGACAGCUAUAGAAUCUAUGAAGACCAACAAACAGUGAGAAGAUGCUGCUGUCAGAAGCGGGAGAGUGAAUGACAAUAACUCCAUUGAUUGAGUCCUUGCUGGAUGCCCGGCAUGGCGCUCAGCACUUCCAGACACCAGGAACUCUUGAUCUUCAGAACAACCAGGUGAGAUAACUAUUGAAAAGA
Molecule: long non-coding RNA, 847 nt
Organism: Talpa occidentalis (Iberian mole)
Lineage: Eukaryota; Metazoa; Chordata; Mammalia; Eulipotyphla; Talpidae
Exons: 3
Source: RefSeq, a predicted model, not a curated record